UUUUUUAAAAAACGCGCGCAGUACAAGUACCGUGAGGAAAGUUGCAAAGCACUUUGAAGAGAGAGUUAAAGAGGACGUGAAACCGAUGAGGUGGAAACGGACAGAGCCGGCGUAUCUGGUCUGCAUUCACCCGUUUGUUGUUGGGCAUUGGGCUGUCAGCUUCCAGACUGGGGCGGUGGUUCAUUUGUCCUGCGGCUUAUGGGGCAUUGCAGGCGGAGUGCGCUGAGAUGCUCGGGGCAGCUGCAUGAGCCUGGCUUUGAGGCCAGCCCUCGGGCUGGUACCCGGGCUGGGGGAGUGCUGUUUGUUCUGGGUGUAUGUGUGUGAUGGUCACGGGUUCGUGCUGGUUCGAGCUGGCGGUCGGUGGCGGUCGCUUGCGACACGUACCAGCAGUUAGUUCGGUCCGGUUCGGGCUCUCAUUGCAUGUUCUCGGUGUAAAAGCCGGUUAUCUGUUUGACCCGUCUUGAAACACGGACCAAGGAGUUUAGCGUAUGCGCGAGUCAUUGGGUGUUGAAAACCUAAGGGCGUAAUGAAAGUAAAGGUGUCCUUGCGGAACUGAUGUGUGAUCCUGAGCACUUCGGUGCGAGGGCGCAACAUAGUCCCGUCUCGAUCGCUUGCGAUGGGGCGGAGACAGAGCGUAUGCGCUGAGACCCGAAAGAUGGUGAACUAUUCCUGAGCAGGAUGAAGCCAGAGGAAACUCUGGUGGAAGUCCGAAGCGAUUCUGACGUGCAAAUCGAUGUCUGACUUGGGUAUAGGGGCGAAAGACUAAUCGAUCCAUCG
This 777-nucleotide ribosomal RNA is filed under the name Heterodera carotae. RNAcentral describes it as "LSU rRNA". It matches the Rfam family "Eukaryotic large subunit ribosomal RNA", at positions 318 to 945 of the family's 3401-position model. The record is from RNAcentral. Lineage: Eukaryota; Metazoa; Nematoda; Chromadorea; Rhabditida; Heteroderidae.